Long non-coding RNA from Columba livia (rock pigeon), 2074 nucleotides. RefSeq lists it as uncharacterized. The transcript has 3 exons. NCBI's taxonomy places the organism in Eukaryota, Metazoa, Chordata, Aves, Columbiformes, Columbidae. The record is from RefSeq and is a predicted model, not a curated record.
GGCCGGCAGGGGGCAGCGCUGCCCCGGGCAGCCCCGCCGAGCCGCCCCGAGCCGGGCCGAAUGGUUCCGAGCUGGGCCGAGGCGGGCCGAACGGUUCCGAGCCGAGGCGGGCCUCACCGCGCCGAACCUCGGCGAGCCGUUCCGAGUCGUGCCCUGGGGCCGUUCCCGGCCCAACACUAGUAACCGGUUUUCCAGGCUGUGCUCCAGGCGCCUUGGACUAAAAGAAUUGCGAGCAAUACAAACAAGCAAAUCAAUUCAGAAAAAUAAAAGUUGACGUGAGCUUGCAUCCAAGAAGUCAGUUUCGUGGAGCUUGGUCUGUUGGGAGGAUUUUUUGAGAAGCAUCUCAAUAGCUGCUGGCUGGGUAGCUUCAGCACUGACCCCCCAACCCAGGCGAGGUUUGCUGCUCGUGGUGUUCCAGGAAUGACACAGGGGCUCCGGCUGGAGUCAGGCCAGGACAUUAGAUGAAACUGCUUUUGUGGCACUUCUGCUUUUUAUGGCUAGAGGACAGAUUUCCUGCUGUAUCUCUCUGCAGCAUUUGACUCAGUUGACCAUGAAGCCCUGCUGGCCCCUGCUGAGGAGGGGGGUUGCAGUCCGGUGAGAAUGGUUCAGCGGGGCAUACCUAGUUAGUAGAGAUGUGAACAUCCAUCCCUAUUGCUAACUGCUGUCCCACAGCAACCUAUGCUUUUCCCUUUUUGGUGACCCAAUUGAGUGGAAAGUCAUCAGUGUGGGAGACACUGCUGCAGCCCAGAACACUUUAAGAGCUCAAGACAGUCGUGCCAUCCCCUCCUCUCAAGUUUUAAGAGAAUACAUAGUAAAGUUCAAAGUCUCAGUCCUUGAAAGCCUUAAUAGCGUGCCUCAGAGUAUCUAAAAUGUCACAUUAUUGGUACUACCGUAAUUAUUAAGAGAGUCUUGCUGUUUUCUGCUGCAGCAAAAAGUUGGAUGGGAAAGAGGUGGCUCUCUGAUAACCUCCUCCAGUUGUUGUAAGCAUUGGUCAGUGUCUCUCGGAAGUGUGGAAAACACUUUCCUCACCUGGGACGGUUUACGCUUUCCUUACAGAGAUGCCCGGUGUCUGCAGGUUGCCUUGUAUUUCACACAAGUGGGGAAUGUUCACUGCCUCUGUCUGGAACAUCUGUCUCUCCCGACUCAAGCAAGAUAGCACUGUGUUUCACCAGCAGCAUCGGGACUGGCCUUACCACCUUUCUAUCCUACACAUCAGCCUCAAAGUGAUGGCAGGACCGCAUGGGUAUCUGUGCAGUGUAUCAUCUCACACACACACACACAUCCCCCACAUGCAUAAUGCUUAUCUUUAAUUUUGUGUACGUUUUAGCCAUGCACUUUCUAAAGAGGGUUAAAAAUGUCAAUUGAAUUCAGAAUAAAGAGGUGGAAAAAAGUGUUCUGAGGUACUCACAAGGCUGGUAGUACUAACAAGAGAGACAAUUCCUGGCUUUCUUUGGCACUGAAGUUAAUUGCAGGCAUCUAGGGUUUAAAGACCUUGUGUUAUUGAUGGGGGUGUGUUAGCAACAGGAGGCUCUAACACUAAACUGGAAUUUAGCAUGUACAGUAGGUUGUCAAGAGAAAGAAAUAAGAACAAUGGAGACUGUUAUUAUCUUUUAUUAUUAUCUUUUAAUUCCCCCCCAUUUUCUUUCUGCAUGUUCUCUCUCAGCCCUCUCUCUUUCAAUAAUUACAAUAAUCAACUUACAAUGAUAACAGAAAUAAUCUCCUGCAAGAUAGCUAAACAAACCAUGUUAUCUGUACUGAACUGUGCUCACUUACAGUAGGUAUAUCACUUAUUGAAAAGCUAAUAAAACUUUAAUUAAAAAAGCAUGUAGGUUGUCAGUUAAGAUGUAGAAAUGGUGUGCAAACACAUGCAAAGUGGUCCAUAAAUUGCUCGGUAUUUGAUAGAGUGGGUAGGAGGGCAAACCCACCCCAAACCAAACCAAACCAAACUAAACCCUCCAGGGUUGAGGCACUCUCUUUAUGUUGCUCUAUACAGAGCACUAAUUUCCUGGGAAUUCAAAAGCAGGGGGAGGGGAGAAUCCUCCCUUGAGCGACAAUCACAUCCACCCACCUCCAC